CAGUCGCCGCGGUAAUACGUAGGUGGCAAGCGUUGUCCGGAAUUAUUGGGCGUAAAGGGCUCGCAGGCGGUUUCUUAAGUCUGAUGUGAAAGCCCCCGGCUCAACCGGGGAGGGUCAUUGGAAGCUGGGAAACUUGAGUGCAGAAGAGGAGAGUGGAAUUCCACGUGUAGCGGUGAAAUGCGUAGAGAUGUGGAGGAACACCAGUGGCGAAGGCGACUCUCUGGUCUGUAACUGACGCUGAGGAGCGAAAGCGUGGGGAGCGAACAGGAUUAGAUACCCCUGUAGUCCCUGUCUCUUAUAU
RNAcentral lists this ribosomal RNA (301 nucleotides) under uncultured bacterium. RNAcentral's name for it is "partial 16S ribosomal RNA". It matches the Rfam family "Bacterial small subunit ribosomal RNA", at positions 509 to 809 of the family's 1533-position model. The record is from RNAcentral.